CCCAUUAAAAUGCAUUUUUGACUGUAUCUUCCAUAAUAAUUUGCCUUGUCAUUGUCCCCAAUGAUAACUCACUUAAAUGUGCAAACAGGGUACAUUGAACAUUACAGAACAUUACAUACUGAUUUCAUGUUCCCAGCUCUCUGUAAUUUGUGUGUUUGCUGUUAUUGUAACAGCACAAGCGAGGAGAAUGGGAGACAAAUUGAUUCUCACGCUGCUUUCCUCUGCAGAAAAGACUCGAGAAGCUGCUGUACAGCGACCGCUUCUUCAGGGACGACUUCGCCGUUGUUCUCCAGCCCUUUCUGAAGCACGCUGACCCGCCCCGCCUCCCGGUAAUCCAUCUCACGCCUAUCAGUGUGACAUAAGUGUCUGCUUUCGGACCAGUUGGUGCAAAACAUCACGCGGUGAUGACUGACUCAUCAGGAUCCCCAGUGUGACAGCUGUAGCCUUUUGGCUGAGAGACUCACGAAUCAUGUUUCACCAACAAUGCUGUCCAUCACUAGAACUAUACCGCAGUGUAUUUUGUGUCUCUCUGAGCAGAACGGGAAGAUCGAUAUGACUUUCUUCACUCACGACUGCUUCCACUUUACCAUAAAGGGACAUGAGGAGCUGGCCAAGGGACUGUGGAACAACAUGUUUCAGCCUGAGGGAGGAAAGACGAUUGUGAGCAGCUUCUCUGACCCCAUCGCUCUCAUCUGCCCGCCUAUGGUAAGAUUAGCUUUCCAUAUUUGACAACUUUGUUUGCCUGAUUGGUGUAAAGAAUUGAAUAUUAACUAAACGUGUCUCCAGUGAAAUUAGGUUUCAGAAAGUGUUUUAAAGUGUUUGUUGAAAAGUCUGUUGAUUCAAGGAAGCUCAGCGCUCUGGAACUUGUUUUUUUUCUUCAUUUGUUAUGAUUCCUGUGCUUUAGAUGCUUCUCAAAACACUCUGUAACUGCUUUAUCAUGCUGCUGUGCAUGUAAAUGACACUGCAUUAAAAUAAAUGAGUGCUUGGUGAAAUAAAAAUACAUUUUAGUUCACCAGCAACUCAGAGCUGUUUGAAAGACUGGGAAAGAGGCUACAGUGUGUCAUGCUUCUCAAAACGCUCUGCAGUACUGCAUUUUCUGUGUUGUGAUAAAUCUUAAUUUAUUAUCUGAUUUUUACAGUUAUUAUAUUACAUAUCAUAUACGUAGGAACACCCAUAUAUCUUCACUCGACCGAUUGCAGCCAAGUCAGACCAACCUCCCCUCCAGACUGAUGCUCCAUCACCAGCAGUCAUCUUCCUGCUGCUCCUCCUGGCACAGCUUGGAGUUAUGUAGCUUUUAAUUCCUGUCCCCGAGGCAAAACACACAGUGGGCAAAAGGAGUUUUUUAGCCAUUCACCAGCAUGGAGGAAAUGACUGCAAACUGACAGAUUUGACAACAAACAAUCAUUGCAAUCAUGCAACAGAAAUAUUUAAAUCUCAGAGGAUGUUGGAGAUGGACGAGAUGAGGAUAGGGGAGCUUCAGAUGGUUGGGGGUUGUCUCUAUAAUAUUGCCAGAUUUUUACUAAAUAAAGUGCCUGGAGAUGACUGGUGUUGUGAACUGUGCUUCAAAGUGAACUGAACUGAAAAAUGUGACUUUCUAAUAGACCGUUUUACAGUUUUAAAUUGAGAUUUAAUUAACUUUUCCUAAAGACGAUAUACCAGUUAGACCGCAUACGUGGUAGUGGGACGUUUCUGUUUCUCCCCCAUUUGGGGAGCAGACUUAGAGCAUAUAUGUAUUUUUAAUAAAAAGUUUGCUUUGUACAAAUUGCAAAUGUUGUAAUUAACAAAGCACGACGACCUACUUUUGGUUCAAAACCACUUUUGUUUGCUUGUUUGUUUUUGCACGCUUACUCACGCAGAGGGACCCUGGCAAUGUGCCUGGAUCAGCUCAGUAAAAAAAAGAAAAAAAAUAUGAUUUAAACAUGAAAAUUUGUCAUUCAUAUCAUCUGCUGUAGAUUUCCCCAGACAGCUCUGACUUCUCAAACGGGGGAAGAUUUAGUCACACGUCUGCUCCUCAGAUCUCCAGGCAGCUGCUGGCCCACUUUCACUGCUCCAUCCUCUGGUACCUGAGUUAUUAUUAUUAUUAUUCACUAAAAGAGGGAAAGCAAACCAUCACAGUCAUUGCACUGAACAAAAAAAACACUAAGUGUUGCUCAUGCUGCUGGGUGCUGAGCAGUGGAGUCAUUAUCUUUUACCCGCAAAAUGUCAGCGCUCGGCGUCAGUAGCCGAGGUGUAAUCAUCCAGUGCAGAUGGCUGUAUUGUACUCUCUAGUUAAACAGAGCCUACAAUACAGAAUUCACCGACUCUAUUGAAUCAAUGUGAUUACAAAGGCAGGUGGAAGCUAUAUUAAGGCAAUCUCAGGUUACUUUAAUGUGCUCAGAAAUAGCAAUUUAUCUCCAGAAUGGAAAGGAAAACCAUAUGAUAUGUACUCAGUUUGGUGGAGCUGGGUUGUAUUAGUAUAUCAUGUGUCAUAUAUGUAGGAACAGCCAUAUUUGCAUGGGGAAAGCCUCCCUUUUCUAAUGUUUUCUUAUAAUAAAAAGCAUAACACUUGAAUUUAGAAAGGUAAUUAUUUGUAAUCACCCAACUUUUUUCCCCCCAAACUCUUUCAAAUAUAUUUGCUUAGUGCCAGUUUACUUUGUUGCUUCUUGGAUGCUUCUCUUUGAUGAAUUUCAAUCAGUGCUUGUAGCUUUCAGAUUUCAUUAUAGCCCUUUUAUUGUAUUCAAAGGAAACCGUCUUCAUGUUUAAACAAAGCCGGCGGCACUUUAUGCGGGACAAAUAUGGAUCCUCUGGUCUGGCUCUGACGCAGAUUGGCCUUUAUUGUUUCUCUGAAUGCAUAAUGAGAUCUUUGGGAUGUCAGUGAAUGGUGCAGCAGCACAAUGUGAAACUGCAAACAGUCCAAACGCCCCCUCCCGCUUUAGAAACCUCUGCUCUGUUUGUUUUUUAAUGAACAUGUCAGUAACACGAAAGAAAAUGACCUCAUGAGGACAUGUACAUUCAGAAGUUUUAGAAUUUUCCAGUGUGCAUGUCUGCUCCUUAUAAAUGGAGACAAAAUGAGAAAAGCUGGUACUGUUUCUGCAGUUUUAAUGCAUCAUCAUUUAAUGUCGGAUCUCAGGAGGCUCAGGGAAAAGGUCUUAUUAAAAUUCAAAGGGAGAAAAAAAACAAUAAUAAAGCUUCACUUGGUGCAGGGUUGCCAAUUCUGACGCUUCUGAUGUGACACGACCGCUGGUCAGGAGGUGAAUCAGACGCAGAUCACACACCCACUGCCUCCAACAUCACAAAAAACCCCAAC
Oreochromis niloticus (Nile tilapia) is the source of this 3286-nucleotide long non-coding RNA. Lineage: Eukaryota; Metazoa; Chordata; Actinopteri; Cichliformes; Cichlidae. The record is from Ensembl.